AUAUGCUUUUGUGCUUAUUACAUGUGAAAUAGGUCUAUAAUAGUAUCAGGAUAAAAUUGGAAGAAAAGGACCUGAAGAAGACAAAGUUGCAGACCAUGUGGGUCACCACAUGAGUCAUCAACAUAUCAUAUAACUCGUAGGUUAACUUGUAAGCAUAAUAGAAACCAAAGACAAAAAGAAAAGUUAAGUACAGGAAAUAUACAAGUGGAGCAUAUGAGAUGUAAGAUAAGGAUACGUGUCAUGUAAAGAAACCAAAAAGAGAACAAAAUCUCAGGCUCCUAUUUAGAGUUUAAGUCUCAGAAGAAGA
RNAcentral lists this long non-coding RNA (307 nucleotides) under Capsicum annuum. Its description in RNAcentral is "long non-coding RNA (CANN_LNC008437)". Lineage: Eukaryota; Viridiplantae; Streptophyta; Magnoliopsida; Solanales; Solanaceae. The record is from RNAcentral.